RNAcentral lists this ribosomal RNA (669 nucleotides) under uncultured Ruminococcus sp. RNAcentral's name for it is "bacterial SSU rRNA". It matches the Rfam family "Bacterial small subunit ribosomal RNA", at positions 28 to 695 of the family's 1533-position model. The record is from RNAcentral. Lineage: Bacteria; Bacillati; Bacillota; Clostridia; Eubacteriales; Oscillospiraceae.
GAUGGACGCCGGCGGCGUGCCUAACACAUGCAAGUCGAGCGAAGCACUUUGCUUAGAUUCUUCGGAUGAAGAGGAUUGUGACUGAGCGGCGGACGGGUGAGUAACGCGUGGGUAACCUGCCUCAUACAGGGGGAUAACAGUUAGACAUGACUGCUAAUACCGCAUAAGACCACAGCACCGCAUGGUGCGGGGGUAAAAACUCCGGUGGUAUGAGAUGGACCCGCGUCUGAUUAGCUAGUUGGUAAGGUAACGGCUUACCAAGGCGACGAUCAGUAGCCGACCUGAGAGGGUGACCGGCCACAUUGGGACUGAGACACGGCCCAAACUCCUACGGGAGGCAGCAGUGGGGAAUACUGCACAAUGGGGGAAACCCUGAUGCAGCGACGCCGCGUGAGCGAAGAAGUAUUUCGGUAUGUAAAGCUCUAUCAGCAGGGAAGAAAAUGACGGUACCUGACUAAGAAGCACCGGCUAAAUACGUGCCAGCAGCCGCGGUAAUACGUAUGGUGCAAGCGUUAUCCGGAUUUACUGGGUGUAAAGGGAGCGUAGACAGAUGGGCAAGUCUGAUGUGAAAGCCCGGGGGCUCAACCCCGGGACUGCAUUGAAAACUGUUUUUCUAAAGUGCUGGGAAAGUAAAUUGGAAUUCCUAAUGUAACUGUUGAAUGCGUAGAU